This 584-nucleotide ribosomal RNA is filed under the name Pediococcus acidilactici. RNAcentral's name for it is "bacterial SSU rRNA". It matches the Rfam family "Bacterial small subunit ribosomal RNA", at positions 844 to 1427 of the family's 1533-position model. The record is from RNAcentral. Lineage: Bacteria; Bacillati; Bacillota; Bacilli; Lactobacillales; Lactobacillaceae.
UGCUGCAGCUAACGCAUUUAAGUAAUCCGCCUGGGGAGUACGACCGCAAAGGUUGAAACUCAAAAGAAUUGACGGGGGCCCGCACAAGCGGUGGAGCAUGUGGUUUAAUUCGAAGCUACGCGAAGAACCUUACCAGGUCUUGACAUCUUCUGCCAACCUAAGAGAUUAGGCGUUCCCUUCGGGGACAGAAUGACAGGUGGUGCAUGGUUGUCGUCAGCUCGUGUCGUGAGAUGUUGGGUUAAGUCCCGCAACGAGCGCAACCCUUAUUACUAGUUGCCAGCAUUCAGUUGGGCACUCUAGUGAGACUGCCGGUGACAAACCGGAGGAAGGUGGGGACGACGUCAAAUCAUCAUGCCCCUUAUGACCUGGGCUACACACGUGCUACAAUGGAUGGUACAACGAGUCGCGAAACCGCGAGGUUUAGCUAAUCUCUUAAAACCAUUCUCAGUUCGGACUGUAGGCUGCAACUCGCCUACACGAAGUCGGAAUCGCUAGUAAUCGCGGAUCAGCAUGCCGCGGUGAAUACGUUCCCGGGCCUUGUACACACCGCCCGUCUCUCCAUGAGAGUUUGUAACACCCAAAGC